Molecule: ribosomal RNA, 461 nt
Filed under: uncultured bacterium
Lineage: Bacteria
Description: bacterial SSU rRNA
Rfam family: Bacterial small subunit ribosomal RNA
Source: RNAcentral
AGAGUUUGAUCCUGGCUCAGAACGAACGCUGGCGGCGUGCCUAACACAUGCAAGUCGAACGGAGAUAAGGGGCUUGCUCCUUAUUUUAGUGGCGCACGGGUGAGUAACGCGUGGAUAAUCUACCUUGGAAUCUGGGAUAACAUUUCGAAAGGGGUGCUAAUACCGGAUAAGACCACGAGCUCUUUGGAGUUUGCGGUAAAAGGGGGCCUCUGUAUAUGCUUCUGUUUCAAGAUGAGUCCGCGUACCAUUAGCUAGUUGGCAGGGUAAUGGCCUACCAAGGCGACGAUGGUUAGCUGGUCUGAGAGGAUGAUCAGCCACACUGGAACUGAGACACGGUCCAGACUCCUACGGGAGGCAGCAGUGGGGAAUUUUGCGCAAUGGGGGAAACCCUGACGCAGCAACGCCGCGUGAGUGAUGAAGGCCUUCGGGUCGUAAAGCUCUGUCAGAGGGAAAGAAGUGUA